AACGUAGGGGACAAGCGUUAUCCGGAUUUACUGGGCGUAAAGCGCCCGUAGGCGGCCUGACAAGUUGGACGUGAAAGCUCCUGGCUUAACUGGGAGAGGCCGUUCAAAACUGUCAAGCUAGAGUCUGGAAGAGGAGAGCGGAAUUCCCGGUGUAGUGGUGAAAUGCGCAGAUAUCAGGAGGAACACCGGUGGCGAAGGCGGGUCUCUGGGCCGAUACUGACGCUGAGGAGCGAAAGCGUGGGGAGCGAACAGG
This 253-nucleotide ribosomal RNA is filed under the name uncultured bacterium. RNAcentral describes it as "partial 16S ribosomal RNA". It matches the Rfam family "Bacterial small subunit ribosomal RNA", at positions 524 to 776 of the family's 1533-position model. The record is from RNAcentral.